UAAAAAUAAAAUAAAAAUCCUAGUCUUAGGAUCCUUGUUGUGCCCAUCUCUGGCAGCCAGCAGCACCCACAUGCCAGCAAGUGAAGGUCUGCGCUGUGCCUUGGCUUUCCUGGGUGAACCCUGGCAUGCAUUUCUCAGUUGGGCACCAGCCUGCUCAUUUUGCACCAACUCUCUACCGGUCCCCUCCUACCUUUCUCCCUUGGCGGUUGCUAUGGCAGCGAUGGCAAUUGGUGGGUGCUUGGCUGGGGGGGUGGGCUGCUGUGCUUUGUUUUUAGUUCAGCUCUGGAGCCUCCGGGCCCUGGAGCUCCACUGAGUUGUUGCUGGGGCACUCUUGGUCCCAAUGGGGUUGAGAUUGUCAGGGGAGUCCCGGGGGCUCCGUGUGGCCUCUUUGGUUUCUGUGGUGAGCACUCCGACUCUCCUUGGAUCAUGGUGGCGGCAGUGGCUGUAUUAGUGGUGCGGGGACCAGUCAAGCAGUGCAGCUGGUGCUGCUAAGGAGCUCUGCAGGGCCGUGGUGCCUCGCCAUCUUGCCUCUCCAGAAGUUCUCACAUGUGAAUAUGUUUUGAUGUGGUUUGUCUGACACACUAAGCUACACCUUGACUUAGAGAGAAAGCACAAAUGUGCUUAGAUAAGCCAAUGUAUGGCAUAGCAUGUGGGCCAAACCAGGACUAAUGGUUAAGCUUUAUCCUUGUUAACCACAAGCUGAGAUUUGUUCUCAGUAAACCACACUAAGCUGCUGUCCAUUUUAUUAGAACUAAAAUUGUUCUAUGUACCUCCCUGAGUUUUGUUCAGGCAGAGGGAAUCUUCAAAUCAUUGUUUUUUUCCUAGUACUUGGGUUUGUUUAGGCAGGGGUUUCAUUGUGACUGCUCAUUAAAGAUUACUAAUACUAAAGUGGUAAUUUAUGUGACUUGUUAAUGGAAUAAAACAACUUUAUUUGAGAAUUUAUUCUAACCACCCCUGCUGGAACUAAGCUGAAUGAAUUUAUCCUGUGGCCAGAAAUAGCAACAUGUGCACUAUGGACACGAUGUCAUAUGUCUUAUACAUUACUUCUUUAGAUGUUGGACAAUUAUUAAAUAUGAGAAAAUUUCAAGCAGGAAUUCUGUUAAAUCACUUAAGUGGCUUGAGGUAGAAACUACAGUAGAGCCAGCUAUAUAAACAUGUCUAUCUUGCAAAUAAAAAGAUAUGAAGUAUUAAAGGCUGUGUCAGACACACAGUCGCAAGAGAAAACAGCCACAUUUUAUGCAGUGAAUUGAGUGAAAAAAUUCAGAAGCUUGAUAAAACAACAUAUCACUUUCUGCAUCCAUAAUAGAUCAGUUGCAUAUUGGCCACUUCCCACAGUGGGCCUGCAACCUGUGCUCACUUUACAUAUACUAUUGCAACAUACCACGUGUAGAGAGAGAAUAAAUAAAUAAAACACACACACCUGUGCACCAAGUCGGUUUUCCUUACUUCCUGGGUUCUGGUAAGUAAGCAUUUGGAAAAUUAACAGGUAUUUGGAAAAUUAAAAAUAUGCUGCACAUAAUCAAAUUUUAGCUGGGCUUUAUCAAGACAGUAGUAGUUGUAACAAUAUUAAAAAGUUCCUUCCAGUAGCACAGUAGAGACCUCUAAGGUGCUACUGGAAGGAACUUUUAAAUUUUGUUUUGACUACAGCAGACCAACACGGCUACCUACCUGUAACUCCUAGUAGUUGUAGUCUUUCUGCUAAACUUUUAGUUUGCAGUGCUGUAUGAUGGAUACUUUUGCAAUCAGAAAAGUAGUGUGUAUAUGGUUACUGCAUUUUUU
Long non-coding RNA from Podarcis raffonei (Aeolian wall lizard), 1779 nucleotides. RefSeq lists it as uncharacterized. NCBI's taxonomy places the organism in Eukaryota, Metazoa, Chordata, Lepidosauria, Squamata, Lacertidae. The transcript is spliced from 2 exons. The record is from RefSeq and is a predicted model, not a curated record.